GAUGGAGACUGAUAACUUUCUUUACAGCAGUGAAUGGAAUAAUUUCCCAUCAACAUCAAGUUAUUUACCUGAAAUUCUACAUUUUUCUCUUUCAUAAAUACUCCAGUUUUAACUGACAUCACUAUUAAAGGUUGCAAAAUAAUAUCCUUAGAGCUGAGCCACUCCUGAAAUGCAAGUCAAAAACCCUGGACAAUUUUACAGUGAAAGAAAAGAAGUUCCACAUUGUCAAUAUCCUUUUCACAAAAUCCACACGAGUUGUUUCCCAAAUAAAUUGCAAAAGAAUUGAGGGUGUUAAAUAAGUUCUAUGAGCAAAGUUGAAGUGUAUUAAUUGAUGAUUUAGGUUUCAGGAUAUCAUGUUAAUGUUUCUCCAAACUUUUUCUCAGUCAAUAUGUUGACAGCCUAAUUCAGUAUUUCGUGCUUCCAUGUAUAAAGGUGAUUUAGUUCUGUUCAAGAGAACUUGGUAUCUUGCAGAAAUUUGUCCUUUUGGGAGACCUAUGAAUUAAUUUGUAAAAUUGAUUAACAGAUGUAUUGGCAGUUGGAACCACAGAUCCCCAUAUGCUUUCAUUGCUGAUCUCAGUUGUAAUUAUGUACAGAAAAAAGAGAAAACCCUGUUACUUGAAACUCAUAUUUUAAAACAGAAAAAAGUCUUCAGGCCAUUUACAUCUAUGACAUCGCCUACUGUAUGUUAUCCAGAAUUUUUCCUCUGAGGAACGUAUUUCAUACUUACGCCAAAUUGAAACCGCAGUUGCAGUUAUUGGACCAUCACACACUCUUGACUGUUCAGCUGAAAUUUUCAUAAAUAGUAUGUCCUGUAAGGAAUUGGGUGCAACAGUAUCUUUCUCAAUUCUUACUCAGGGCAUGUUUGAAUCCAAGUCAAACCAAUUUGAUCAGGAGCAAAACGUCAAUGAUUGAAAAUAAAGUUUGAAGUUUGGAACAGCAAGUCCACCAGAUUGUUUUUCAUUCUGCAUUAUUUUGGGUUUCACACAAGCUUGUUUAUCUUUCUAUGAUACUUUUGUUAUGUUUCUAUGUAAUUUUUCCCAGUACCCACAGGGUGGAGCAAUAGGAAUCAUUUAGCAACAGAAAUGUAUUCUGGGCAAUAUGCUCAUUUUGAUGGUCAAUACUCCUCAAUACUUUUUUUCAAUAGAAGGGAAAAUAUCGAUACCUAAAUAUUUUAAAUAUCAAAAGGAUUUCUUUGGAGUUAUAACACAAGGAGGGAUUCCUCAGAAACAUGGAAGAUUAGGACCAGUUUAUUUUAUAAUUUAAGAUGGAAUCAAAUUUUGUAAAAAUAGUAAAAACAGAAUGAGAAGUAUCAUUCGGGUAUGCCAAGAUGACAUCAGCUUAAAGAGAGAUAUGAUGAUCAGUAGAGUUAAUGGUCAUAUGUUUGACCAUUUGAGAUUGACGGAGAUUCGUGCUAAUAGCUCCAUUGAUAGGAUAAACAACAAUGGUGAUAAUGGAUCACCUUGCCUGCUCCCUCGUGUGAUUUUGAAUGAUGGAGAACUAAUGUUUCCAGUAAUGACGCUGGCUGAUGGAUUUGCAAAUACAAUGGUAACCAAGUUUAUACAUCUUUCACCUAUGCCCAUAUAUUCUAAAAUGCACCAAAGGUAUCGCCACUUUGGGUGAUCGAAAGCCUUCUCAGCAUCAAUAGAAAUAACAGAUAAAGAGAGACUUGAGUUAGUGGAUGAAUAAACAAUACAGUUGUAGAUUGGAUAUUAAUUGAUUUGGGAUCUGUAAGAAACUCCAUGUCUCAUGAUUUUAAAGUGUCCAUACUUGCAGGAUAGUUACAAUUGCAUAAUUUAUUGGCCAAAAACUGACUCGGUCAAUUUCCAUGAAAACAGUAAUUGAGUCUAGCUGUAUGAAAAGCAAAUUCAGCUCUUUUUCUAAUGAAUGUAUUAAGCUCAGUCUUAAUCUUUACAAGUGUGGAGGACACAUCCUGGGAGUAAUUAUUUUGAUGAGAGAGUUCUAAGACAUGUUCUAAGAUGAUUUUCCAACUCAGAUAUCUUUUCCAACUGUAAUAUAUUAAGACCUGAAGCAAAAGAUGUUGGAUUCUUCCCAAUACAGCCUUUAGUUGCAUCUGAAAAUAUCCAAAAUCAUCCACAGAGUUUUUAAUUAAUUGCUAGGGAGUGAUUUAUUUAUUCUGGGUCAUCUACUAUAUAUAUAAAAGAGUUUUAAAGUCUGAUGGCUGCGGAUACCAAAGAACUUCUGAACCUUUCUGUCCGGCAAUGAAAAGAGAGGAGCCGUCCACCACCAUUGGCCUUUUGGUCCAUUAAGGUGUUUAUGAAGUGGGUAAUCCAUGUUCCUUAGAGCAACUUCACAUAAAAAAAUCUUAACAUCUCAAGAGAUGUAGUUACCUUUCUGCAGAAAAAUUCAACCUUUCCCCUCCAGGAGAGUUCAUGAUCAAUCUGGAUACCCCAAAAAAACAUGUUGAUGAUACCGAUUGUGACAAUGGGAAGUUUUUAUUGCUCACUAGAAUAUUUCUUAUUUCCUGCAAAUAAAAUUACUUUUUGUUUUUGAAUUUUAGAGAUAAUUUGUUUGACUGAAACCAAGUAUCAUAAUAGGAAAGGUCUUUAUUUGUUUCUCUAAUUAGAGUUGCAAAGUCUCUCUUGGAGGUAAAAAGGUUGGUAUCAUCUGCAAAGAGCAAAGGGACUGUAGUUUUUUAUAGUGAAACAAUAUUAUUAGUGUAAAUCAAAAACAAUAAUGGCUCUAAUACGGAUCCUUAAGGUACUCCAUACUUUCUCGUUGACACUUCACCAUUAAUAAAUGCAUAUUGUGUUCUAUUAUGAACAAAAUGUUUAAACCACUUAUGGACAUUACCCUGGAAACCUUUCAGCCAGAAGAAGCUGCCUAACCCCAGUGAAUUUGAAGCCUCUGAACUUCUUCACAUAGCACAUUUUCCUUUAAUCCCAGGAUGAAAAUAAGAACAUUGUAGGAGUUCUGAGAUCCCCAGGAACACAAUGAUGUGUUUUUCAUGUCUGUACUCUAAAAAUAUGAGGCCACAACAGCAAGUUAAACAGUGUUGACCCUGAGUGAUGAUCACAAUUUUCUUGCCCAAAAAUUCCAUUACGGUCAAUGGGCAGAAUCGCGGCCUGCUUAGACAGUUGGUCACUGACUGGCCAAGGGGUAUGACUUAAUGAUUUGAAACCUCUUUCGUGAGAAGCAGGACUUAUUUACCUCCAUUUAGAUGUAUUUUUUUAUGGCUGUGGAGUAAAAUUUGUGGGCAAGGAAGCUUAUAUUUGAGCUAGGUUUUGUCGAUCAAAAAAGGUCUCUCCACUCUUGCGAUGACAUCACCCACUGUAGCUGUCACAGCCACAUUAUAAGCCUGAAAUUUGCUGAAAACCAUGAGGUGCUCAGAGCUAAAUUGUGGAAAAACUGUAGAAGAUAGCACAAAAAAGUUAAUACAAGGAGAAGAUUGUGAACAUUUUAAAGCAAAAAUGAGGCCUGAGAUAUGAGAGAGAUAUGAGGCUGAGAAGGUGAAAGAGUAAAAGGUAGAAUUUGAAGAUUUCCCCAUUUAUUUAAUAGGAAAAAAUUUGCACAAAAAGUAAAAAAAUAUCCAAAAGUAUAAAAAGUAGGAAGGAGAAAAAUACAUCCGCACUUGUUCUGAAGGAGAGGAAUAGUUUAAGAGCUGAAUGGUUGAAACAGCACAAAGUGGGAAGGAGUUAGAAAGUGCCAAAAAGGUUCGCAAUAAUAAUAAUAAUAAUAAUAAUAAUAAUAAUAAUAAUAAUAAUAAUAAUAAUAAUAAUAAUAGAUAAAUAAAUAAAUAGGAGAAUAACAAGAAGUGGAAAUGCUUAAUCAGCAUUUCCACUUAAUAAUUACUGUCCCCACUUUAAUAUUUAUUACAUUACCUCUGACUGCAAGGCCAUGAGAUUAGCGUCUCCAUUUAGAACAGUUGAAUUAAAUCUGGCUUAUUCUGUGAGGAUUCAUCCACUCUAGUCCCCUGAGUUAUUUUCUUUUCAAAAGUUAUAGUAAAUUGAAAUGAUGAUGAUGAACCACGUCUCCGUCUUUCAGUUGUUGAACUCGUGCUGCCUUGUGUUUUGUAGAGGUUGAUGUAAUACACAUUCUGGGGUGACAGUCCCUAGGUGGCGUUGUCGCACCAGUUGUCACUUCUGGUUGCCUUCACUGAAACUCUCCUCACUGAUCUUUCCUCCUCCUGCGACACCAGCAAGAAAUGUUUUGCCAUUAUCAGAUUAAGUAAGUAAACUCCACACGGAUCAGUGCCACGGUGGAAUAGAGUUUUUGAUCCCUGACCUAUUUUCGUCAGAUCACUAUCGCCAGAUUAUGCAACGCUCCAGUGCCAGAGAACCGAGCGAACCAAAACUAUAAACCGUAUAUGGGGGGUAAAUCCCAUCUGAUUCUCGUCAGCUAAUAAAAAUAACAGCUCUAAUCCACCAGACAGCCCAUGGGCGUGUGCCGAAGUUGACAGAGCAUUUAUUGUCAGGACACUUCCGCAUAUGACGCAGUUUACCACUUCUGGGACGUCUCGUGGGUCGUGAACUUUUAAGACAGGUAGGUGUCUGAUACAUUUCCGCGAUACUGUGAUUUGGUUGAAUGUGUCAGUGGUAUAAGUUAUAACCAAUAUUAAUCACAGCUUUAAGAGGACAAUUGGUAGAGAUAACGGACACUCCUCCAUCAAUAAUCCUAAAUUUAGGAGAAAAAAAAUGCGAAAAAUACGCCCAAGAAAAAAAUGGAACCGCCCCCUCUUAUUUCCCAGAGAGCACGCAUCAUGGAAAUCAGAGAAAAACAGCUGAAAUUGUAAGAUAUAUAAUAGUGAUCAAUAUUAGGGUCGAAAUAAAGAAACUCGAUGGUUUACUUUACUCCAUACUUUCACUUCCUGUUUCCAGUCUUUUAUUCAUUUUGUUUAAUUCUGUUGGCUGUAGAUACAGGAAUUUAUGAAUGUGUGUGGUUUCUACAACAGAAAAUAGAGAAGUGUAUUAAUACAAAUAUAUAACCAUGAAUGCAAACAUUGGUUAAUCACUAUAGACCUACACACACACACACACACACACACACACACACACACACACACACACACACAUGCAUAUAUGUACAAUGUUUGCUUCACUGUGAUUUGUCAGCACAGCACCACUCCAGUCUAGCUUCUCACGUUCUCUUUUUGACAGCAGUUACUUCCUUGACUGUGUGUGAACCAGCAUCAUGGUGAACCAUUGUGGUCUGCUCUCUGCAAGAAAGGAACCAGGUAGAGAGCUUCAAAAUGCUUUUUAUUUAUUUAUUUAUUUUACCAAUACAGAAUCUUUAUUUCCUGUCUUUUAUUCAAACCUUAAAACUAACUUCGACUUUUGUUGCUUUAAACAGAUUUAAAUGAUUUUAACAACAACAACAAUAAAGAAUUAUGUAAAUUUGUUGUAUGUUUUGUUUUCUUUGUUGUUACUUUAUGAGUGUUUGCUGUUGAUGAUCGAUGAUCAUUAUGUUUCUCUUUGUUACUUUGUCAGUUCCCUUAAAGAGUGUGGAGGUGGAGGUGGAGGUGAGGGACCAUGUGGCUACUGUGGUCUCCACUCUCAAUUACGAGAACAAAGAGGACAAACCAUUAGAAGCAGUUUUUGUCUUCCCUCUGCCUGGAGAUGCUGCUGUCUGUCAUUUUAGCGCUACGCUUGGACAGACACAGAUCAUUGCAGAGGUCAAGGAGAAACAAGAGGUGAGCAACACAGUGAGGAUUGACUAUUUACUGUGAGACUAUCAGUAUAAUACUGUAAAAAUUAAGGUGACUCAUGUAAUCUGUACUCUAGGCACGUGAGGACUAUGAUGAUGCUUUAAGCUCUGGUUUGGAAGCCUUUCUGUUGGAGGAGAGUGAGCAAAGUCCGGAUAUAUUCUCCCUGAGUGUAGGCAGUCUUCAACCCGGAGAGAGUGCCUCAAUCAGGCUGGAAUAUGUCACUGAGCUGAAUGUGCAGGCUGAUUCUGGACUGAGGUUUUGUCUGCCUGCUGUGCUUAACCCUCGCUACCAACCUAAGGGUAGGUAAAACGAGCAAAAACACGUGUCAGUAACUUUGAAACUGCAUCUAUAUUGGUGGAUUGGCAUUGCACCUUUUUAUUAGUGCUUGUAAAAGUCAAAUCUUUAAAACUUGAAACUCAGCAAACUAAGAGACAAAGUGGUUGACCACUUUGAGCAGCCCCAUUAAUGACAGCCUUAUUAGGCCAUGAGCCAGGGGGGUUGGUCGGUAUCAACUGAGGGGAAUAAUGCUCAUAGUGAUUUUUGACAUUGUAUACAUGUAUAGAGUUAGAAAAUAUGUGAUAGCAUUGCAGCAGUGGUAGCUAAAUGUGUGCUAUCAUGCAUUUUAUUUUAUAACACUUGGCGAAAAUUACAUGGGUCAAUAUAUAAAAACAUGCAACUUAACCCCCCAAAAAACCUAUAGAAAGGGUUUCUUUUCACCAUACAUCAUUUCUAUAAGGUGUCUAGACUAACAUAAUAUAAGUCCUAUGAAAUCCUUGUUUGAAAAGUAUGUUAAUUUUGCCAGACAACAAUACGCAAAUGAGCUCAAAACUCAUUAAAAUUUGCCCAAAAUACUCCUUUUCCCCUGAACUAUUAUCACAGGGAAACUAUUAUCACAGUGAAAGCACAUUGAAAGAGGGUGAUGGCAAUGCUGCUUUUGGACCGGCCUCUAACCUGAAAACUUGGUUGUACCUACCAGGGGUAUAACCCCGGCCGGCGUAGUCUUCAGGGUCACUGAGGCACACAAGCCUCCCCACCACGACAAGGUAGUAACAAUAGGGGAGGGUGUUUUUUUUGUGUUUUUUUUUUGUGUUUUUGUAUGUUUAUUUUUGCCCGGAUCCUCACCACCUUCUCUACAUGUCAGUUCCUGGCUUGUUCUUUGCUUUGUUCUGGGACAGAGUUAAACCAAGAAAGGUGGUUUUUGUGUAUAUCCCUACGUUUGCCAUUCAGGAAUAGUGUAGGCCUGAAUCUCUCCAAUUCUCAAUUAUACAGAUCAUACUUUUGACCUCUAUACGUUUACAACCUAAUAAUCAAAAUCAUUUUCAUCACUAUCUUUCACGUCAGAUGGAUGGAAAGGCCAAGGACUCUCAGUCAUCUCCUGUUUUAUGACUGAUCUAAUAUGAGAUGAAGUCUGAUCUAUGAUCUUGUUCAAAUUGGUUGACUUGGCCCUCCAAACUUUGAGUUCCCUCUGCAGUGUUUGAUUUUUCAAGACAACAUCCCUUAAUGAUACACUUUGUGGUACGAUCAACAAUUUUCCUUUCUCAUGUGGGAAUAUAUGUACUAUAUUGCCCAGCUCAGAUUCAAGAUUCCUGCAAAUAUUCUUCCUUGUAUAAUCUCGCAAGCAUGUAAUUCCUCUAGACAGCAUUAAUUGUUCAAGUUUCAAGACCAAAGAACUUGCUUGUACAAUGGUCUUAUUGGGUAUGAUAUCAGCUCUGAUAUAUUUGAAAAGAUCAAUAUAGGCUUCCCUUUCAAUGUUUUUAUACAGUUCACCACGAUCUGUUUCCUCAUUUUUCUUUUUGCACACAGGUUCCUUUUUCUUGAUUCGUGUAUAAUCUUUAUAGCAUGACACAUGAUAGUGGGCCUCUGCAGCAACUAUGUCUCUGCUUGUUACUGCUAGAAUAUUUUCAUCCCCUUUUUGAGUUGCACACUCUCUUGAAGUUUGGUCAGCUCUGAGUUGUACAGCUUGUGUAAGCUUUUCACGCAACUUGGAGCCCUUUAAAAACUUCUCAUUCUCAUACAAAAGAUGCAGAUAUGAUCAUACACCCUUGAUGCUGAUGAAGAUCUCCUUCUAGGCCUUUUUGAUACACAGCCGUACUCAACAUCUUCAUCACCAGUAAUGCUUUCCUUGGCUUUCUUUUUCAAUGACUCCAAUUCCCUCUUCAUGGUGAAGAGGCUUUGGCAUUUUCUGUGAUAAUAAAUUGUAGGCACAUCCUUUUCUCUAAUAUUUUUUAGCAAUGUCUAAAAUAGGGGCAUGGUUUCUCACUUUGGCUGCUUCAAGUAAUGUUUCCCAGGAUUUAUAGUCUUGGGGACUAACUAAAUGUUCACCAUCAUCCUUGGACAUUUUAUUGUGUAUGAUGCACUGUUUAAUCGAUUCUGUCUGCUUAGGACUCUCCAUCAUAAAGGAAAGUGAUUCAGCUCCUUGACAUGAAAACACUCUGCUGUUCUCUGAAUUGUGUCUGACAUUAAAAACAGGGAUAUGCCCCUAAUUUGCCUAAAUAGCCUCAAUGAUGAUUAAGGUUAAGACUUGUAUUUUUAACUGAAACAUUUGUCACCCCUCCAAAGGAAGUGGAGAUAGUGCAAGUGGUAACGUCCAAGUAACCUCGUGUCCAGCCUCCUUGGUGCCCUACACCCUGUCCUUCUCUGCCCAAGUGUCGUCUCCUCGUCCUGUCUCCAAAAUAGAGUCCAACUGUUCCCUUGAUCCUCUACAGUACCUCAACUCAGAGCAAACCAAAGCCAUGGUAGGUGGAAUAUUCAUGUGUCUGCUGAUGUUGUUGUCUGCACUGGUAACACUAUGUGUCAUUCAUGUUGUUGUUUGUGUGUCCUGUAAACUAUAGAUCAAGCUGGCUGCAGGGCACAAAUUUGACAGAGAUGUUGAACUUCUGAUUUAUUACAAAGAUGCCCACCAGCCCACUGCGGUGGUGGAGGCAGGCCAGGCUUCUGCUGAGCUUGGUGAGUAGAAAUUUGUGAAGUUCCUAUUUUGCAUUUACAAAUCUUAAUAGCCUAACUCUCUAGUCUAGCAGAUAAAUCACAUAAAUAAAUAGCAAAAGUAAGAUUGGAUGUCUUUGUGGCUCAGGCACUCUGAUGGGUGAUCCAGUAGUGAUGCUGAGUCUGUACCCAGAGUUCCCACAGGCUGUGAUGUCCUCAGUUGCCACAUGUGGAGAGUUUGUGUUCUUAUUGGAUCGCUCUGGUAGUAUGGGUGCAGCUAUGAACCACACCAAUAGAAAUGAGACUCGCAUUAGUAGUGCCAGGGUAUGAAUGUGUAUAUUCUUAUAUAAAACUAUCAGGAAUUUUCUUAUCAGACAGCAGCUUUCAUGAUUAUGUUUUUCCCUGAAGGAUACUCUUCUACUCCUGCUGAAGAGUUUACCAAUGGGCAGCUAUUUCAACAUUUACAGUUUUGGCUCCAGUUUUGAAUCCAUCUUCCCGUAAGUUACUUCUCAAAGGCUGUCCAAUAAAUUUGUCCCUGACUUUGUUGUUAAUUUGAGGACUUUUUUUGAUGUAAUCACAGUAAGAGUGUGGAGUACAACCAGGAGACAAUGGAAAAGGCUUUGAAGAAAGUUGAGGAGAUGCAGGCUAAUCUGGGAGGAACAGAGAUCCUUAAGCCACUUAAACACAUCUACAGCCAGCCCUGCAUUCCCAGUCAACCCAGACAAGUACCACACAUUCACACACAUUCACACAAAACAUGUGAAACAGGUCCAACAUCCCCUGCCAGUAACUAAAGAAAUCAAUUCAGUCACCAGUAAAAGAAUCUUUCUGUUCUGGUUUUACAGUCACCAGUUAGUUUAUUCUCACCACACCUUGUUUCAAACUUGGCACUAAUAACCACUUCAAUGUUGUGGCAUCUAAACAGCCUUCUGAAAACAACGGCUGCAUAUGAUUGUGAUAUAUUUGAAUAACAUGAAAAUUCUCUUCCCUAGCUAUUUGUAUUUACUGACGGAGAAGUGUGGAACACCAAAGAAAUUAUAGACCUGGUAAAGAAGAAUUCACAUGCCCACAGGUGAACUGCCAGAAACUUUGUAAACAACCAGAUUAUUUCACACAACAUAUACAUUGUUCUCCUGCUGCCUGGGGUAAAAGUUAAACAACUCUAUUUCAGAUGUUUCUCUUUUGGGAUUGGAGAAGGGGCCAGCUCCGCUCUCAUCAAUGGGUUGGCCAAGGAAGGAGGAGGUCAUGCUCAGUUCAUUUUAGGAAGUGACAGGAUGCAACCAAAAGUCAGUUCCACAUGAAAUACAAGCAAUCUGUCAUGUUCAACAAUACUUUGGUUUGUUGGAUGGGAGGGGUAAACCUUUUAAAAGUGAUUUAUCUUCACCAGGUGAUGCAGUCACUGAGGUAUGCUCUACACCCAGCUGUGGUGGACAUCUCAGUCACAUGGGAUUUACCAAAAGAUGUGUCCGCCACUGUCCUUUCUCCACCGAUCACAUCACUUUUCCAGGGUCAAAGGUCUCUGAUUUAUGCUGGACUCACUGGACAGGUAGGAAUUGUUACAUAUGAAGAGGAAGUUCUCUGUAUUUUAGUGUAAUAGUGUAAAGAUUUUGGUUUAAAACCAUUUAAACAUUGAUCUCCUUCUCUGCCUCUCAUAAGGGUCCUAAAUCUGUAAAUUCUGUCAGAUUUCAGAGGCAGCUGAAGGCUGUGUGACAGUAAAAUACAGCCUGGCAGGUCAUCCCUCUCAGAACCAGCUUCGCUUCAACCUGAAACCUACAGAGGAUUCUGGGUAAAAAAAUAAUUCAAAACAGCCUUAUGGAGUUUCAUUUCAAUAUUGAGAACAACACUGAAUGAAUGCUAAAACUUAUAUUUUUGAAAAAGGGAAAAUAUUUGGCACCAACAAGUUUCUUCUUAGUCGUUGACACAGAAAAUGAGCUAAGAUGUACACACUGUAACAUGAAAACACAGAAAAACUAAAACAGACUUGAUCUCAGUUGUGUUCCAGUGCAACACGACAUUUGGGCCAUUGUUCAAUCACUGAACAACUGAGGAACAGCAAGAUGUUUUAUGUAUCAUAUUGAGACAAAUCACAUAUAUAGAUAAAGAUAUAGCUGUGUUUGGAGAUCUAACAGAGUGAAAGAAAAACAAAGAAAAACAUCACAAACUCUGAUAGCGCUGAUUUUAGAAGACUGCAGAGUUCAUUACUGUCAAUGUAAUCGUUAAUAUAUCCACAUCCUCUGCACAUCCUUUAACAUGUGAUAUCAAUAUUUUCAGACUAACAGUCCACAGGCUGGCUGCUCGGGCUCUGAUUCGCUGCCUGGAGAUGGAGGACAGAGAGCCCAGACAACAGCAGGAUGACAGUGUCAAGAAGAAGGUGGUAGAGCUCAGUGUGCAAUCAGGAGUGAGCAGUGCCUUUACUGCCUUUAUCGCAGUCAACAAAGGCAAUGGCAAAGCCAUACAGGGACCACUGGAGCGCAGGAAUGUUCCAGCACCCAGUGAGUAUUUCAUAGACACUUAAAUUAAAAAUAUGGCUGCUAACAUCAUAGAGAAGAGUAGAGCUCUAAGAUUUAGAAAAAGUAACUAUUUAUAAUUCUACAAAUGAGUUUCAUAACUGCAGAUAGGAUUACACACUUAAAUUAAAAAUUUCGAUCAGCUAGAAUUGACUUUGGCUGAUAUUUUCUCAAGUAAAGUUUCUCAUAAUUGCUAAACCUAAUACUGUUUUGUCAUCUCAGUAUUAAAGUGCAGUGGAUGGCAAUCUUAUGACUCCUUCUCCAUGCCCAUGUUGUGCCAGAGUAAGUAAAAGAUCAAAUUCUUGUUGGCACAUCCUUAUGUUACAUCUUGACCUUCUAAGAUUGUCCUUCUAAACUCUCAGAUAGUCCCUGUAACCUCAGGAGCCUUAAAUCAUGCGCUAUAGAUUUCUGUGACAACUCUCUUGACUGUAAGUAAUUUAAUGAUUAUUAAACCCCAUACAUAUAUAUACAUAUAUAUAUAUAUAUAUAUAUAUAUAUGUAUAUAUAAAUAUGUAUAUGCAUAUAUGUGUGUGUGUGUAUAUGUAUGUAUAUGUAUAUGUAUAUAUGUAUAUAUAUGUAUAUGUGUAACUAUAUAUGUGUAUAUGUAUAUAUAUGUACAGUACAGGCCAAAAGUUUGGACACACCUUCUCAUUCAAUGCAUUUUCUUUGUUUUCAUUACUAUUUAAAUUGUAGAUUUUCAAAACUAUGAAUGAACACAUGUGGAAUCAUGUGCUUAAGAAAAAAGUGUGAAAUAACUGAAAACAUGUUUUAUAUUUUAGAUUUCUCAAAGUAGCCACUCUUUGCUUUUUUGAUAGCGCUGCAAACUUUUGCUGUUCUCUCAAUGAGCUUCAUCAGGUAGUCACCUGAAAUGGUUUUUACUUCACAGGAGUGCCUGAAGUAACCCUUACAAGGUACUUCUGUCAUCAAGAGCAAAGAGUGGCUAUUUUAAAGAAACUAGAAUAUAAAACAUGUUUUCAGUUAUUUCACACUUUUUUUAUAAGUACAAAAUUCUACAUGUGUUCAUUCAUAGUUUUAAUGCCUUCAGUGAUAAUCUACAAUGUAAAUAGUCAUAUAAAAAAAUAAAGAAAAGACAUUGAAUGAGAAGGUGUGUCCAAACUUUUGGCCUGUACUGUAUAUGUGUAUAUAUAUGUAUAUAUAUGUAAUUAUGUAAUUAUAUAUAUCUAUAUAUAUCUAUAUCUAUAUAUAUAUUUAUAUAUAUAUAUAUAUAUAUAUAUAUGCUCAAUUGAAUGUUUGUUUUGUGAAUUUUAUGAAUUUUGUGACGCCUUGUCCAGUCCCAUAUUAUGUCAAGGUAAGUAAGAGAUAAAAUUCUUUUUGGUGUAUCCUUAUGUUGCAUCUUGACCUUCUAAGAUUGUCUUUCUUAAGUCUCAGGUAUUCCUAGUAACAUGGAUACAUUAAGUAUACAGUCCUAUGAAAGAUCAUCAAGCAGUAAGUGUAAGUAAAAAUUGUAUGAUUUUGAAACCCCAAACUUUUUAUUAUGUAUGUAUGCAUAUAUAUAUAUAUAUAUAUAUAUAUAUAUAUAUAUAUAUAUAUAUAUAUAUAUAUUCCUUAUGCAACGCUGUGGCUAAAAAAAGCCACUUGGGACAAAAUUUAGCCACUAAUUUAUAUGUAACUUUUUUUUACUGCAGCAAAUGGGAUGAUUUUUUGUGCAGAUGCCUAUAUUGAUGGACACUUUGAAAAUAUGACUUCAAAAAUACACGCUCGGCAAAUUUUCAUCCUUUGUUAACGUUCAGUGGCCUUAAAAAAGCCACUAACUUUGACUGCUGUAAAAACAUCUUGGGUUAAUAUUUUUUUCCAUUUUUUUUCACAUAUCUCUUAAUUAACUUCUGCUUUGAUCAAAACUAGUAAAUGUUUCAUCUAAAAACAUUUUUUUUAACCCUUUGAGGGUCCAUUCAAAGCAUAAUGUCACUGAUAUGGUAGAAAAAUACACAAAAAUGACCUAUUUUCAUCAUAAAACAAUCAGAAACAGGUGAUUUUUUACAUGUUGCAUAGUCUUGGCCUUGUGAAGGAUUAGGAACCUCAGAAACUAUGAUGCAUUUUUGUGUAAUGUCUGAUUUUCAUAGAAAAUUUCAUAAAACACUCAUAAAAACACUUGCACUAUUCAUGUACACUGUGUGCACAAUUAUUAGACAAGUUGUAUUUUUGAGGAUAAAUUUUAUUUUUGAACAACUGCAGUGCUCUCGGUCAAUCCAAAAUGUUAAUAAACCUCAAACCUUAAUAUUUAAGGGAGUAAAAGUGAGAUUUUGGCUUCCUUAGGAGAAUUUCUAUGUGUGCACAAUUAUUAGGGGCAGCUAUUAGUGUGCAGAAUUAUUAUGCAACUAAAUUAAAAAUAAAAAAAAUUCCAUUUCACUUGUUUAUUUUCACUUGUUAAAGUGAGAAUGAUAAACAAACAACUCAAUUUACAAAUAAAAGCUGUUGAAAUUAAAAAAAAAAAACAGUGACCAAUGUAACUACCCUUCUUUUCAUUAACAGUCAUAAGCCUUCCAUUCAUGGAAUCUUUCAGUUUCUUGAUCUGUUGACGAUCAACUUUUUGUGUUGCAGUAACCAAAGCCUUCCAGACACUGUUCAGAGAGGUGUACUUUCUUCCUUCACUGUAAAUUUCCCUUUUAAGAAGGGCUCACAAGUUCUCAACAGGGUUUAGGUCAGGUGAAGAAGGAGGCCGCGUCAUUAUUCUUUCAUUUUUAAAGCCUUUACUGGCGAGCCACAUUGUGGAGUACUUUGUUGCAUGCAAUGGAGCAUUGUCCUGCAUAAAAAUCAUGGUUUUCUUGAAAGAUGCAGACUUUUGCCUGUACCACUGCUUGAAGAAAGUGUCUUCUAAAAACUGGCAGUGGAUUUGGGAGUUGAUUUUAAGUCCAUCUUUAACUCGAAAAGGUCCAGCUAGCCCAUCUUUAAUAAUACCAGCCCAUACCAGUACCCAGCCUCCACCUUGCUGGUGUCUGAUUCGAAGUGGAGCUCUGUGCCCAUUACUGAUCCAGCCACGGGUCCAUCCAUCCGGUCCGUCAAGAGUCACUCUCAUCCCAUCAGUCCAUAAAACCUUUGAAAAAUCUCUCUUCAGAUAUUUCUUGGCCAAGUCUUGACGUUUCAACUUGUGUCUUGUUCAGUGGUGGUCGGGUUUCAGCCUUCCUUACCUUGGCCAUGUCUCUGAGCACUGAUCAUCUUGUACCUCUGGGCAUUCCAGGUAGGUUGCAGUUCUGGAAUAUGACAGCACCGGAGGAUAAGCGGUUCCUGGUAGCUUCAUGUUUGAGUCUUCUCAAAUCUUUGGCAGUUAAUUCGCGUCUUUUUUUCUUAACACAUUUCUUGCGACCCUGUUGACGAUUUGCAUCAAAAUGUUUGCUGGUUCUGUGAUCACGCCCAAAUAUCUAAGCAAUUUCAAGAGUGCUGCAUCCCUCUGAAAGACUUUUUACAAUUUUUGACUUUUCAGAGUCAUUUAAAUCUCUUUUUUGGCCCAUUUUCCCUGAGGAAAAGAAGCUGCCUAAUAAUUAUGCACACCUUGAUAUAGGGUUUUGAUCUCCUUAGGCCCCAGCCUCCCUCAUUACACUAAUACACAUUACCUGAUAUGCUUAUAUCCAAUAAGCAUUCAAGUUUAUACAGCUUGGAGUUGGAAAAUAUGCAUAAAAAUGAUGAUAUGAUUAAAAUAUUCACUUGCCUAAUAAUUGUGCAUACAGUGUAUUUUCUAUACUCGUAUACUCGCAUUCUCUUUCGUUACCAGCUUGGUAGUAAUGUGCUGAGCCAGAACUCAGGUCUGUGUGUGUGUGUGUGUGUGUGUGUGUGUGUGUGUGUGUGUGUGUGUGUGUGUGUGUUCAGCGUUUGAAGCAAGACCUGCAAGAGAUCACUCUGUGUUCAUGCCAGAUGUGUUUCACACAUAACUCACAGGUUUUGUUAGUUCUUUUUGACACCAAAGCCGUUCCCAGGUCCUCCAGGAAAAGCCUCCUCCUGAAUCAGUUUUUCUGGUUCCAGGAGAGAUCCACAUCCCACAGCGAGGCAGUAGAUUCACCCCUCGAACAAAACAGGCCAGACAAUGAUGAUGGAUCCUGUGGGGGGUCAGAUUCCAUCCCAUCAGAAUCAAUGACCAUUGCAAGGGCCUCCGUGGUGCUGAAGCUUCUCUUCGUGCUUUCUCUUGCUCUUCUCAUGAGAAAAUGGUCAUUAGAAUCUGCAAGUUGUGGAUUGCAGGGGUGGAGCCAGGGUUGGGGCCCCCGAAGAUCAAAAGGCCAGAUAGCAGGUUUAUAAACACCUCCAGACAUAACAGCUCACUUUUGUUUUUGUUUAUUUUUUUCCACCUCUCUGUACUUCUGAGAGCUGAAGAACAUAGUUUACUUUUGUGGCCAGGUCAGUGCUGGGUCAUGACCUGCAGGCUCCUCCCCUCUCUCUCUCACAUGCACACACUCACAUGCACGCAUGCACACACGCACGCACGCAAACACCCAUUUUUUGGGGCUUCCGAUUUUGUCUGGCCUGUUUGGAAACACAUCUGGCAUGAACACAGAGAGAUCUCCUGCCGGUCUUGCUUCAAACAUUGAAAACACACACACACACACACACACACACACACACACACACACACACACACACACACACACACACACACACACACACACACACACACACACACACACACACACACACACACACAUUUACAUUUUUUCUCUCUUUACUCACUCAAUUUCUCACACAUUCACUCGCUUAGGCUUCCCAGGUUUCUUUCAAUCCUCUCCCCCGCUUCACCCCCAAAAGUUAGUUGUUUGUUCUGGUUUGAUACUCUGUUGUUGUAUAUUUGUGGCUUUUGUUUUAUUGCAUUUUGAGCGAUAAAGUAUGGUUUGGUUCUAAUGUUACAUUGGUUAAAUUUUUUCAUUACUUCCACCUGCUGGUAUGCAAAAAAAAAAUGCGAGUAUAUAAAAGACAUGAGUAGUGUAAGUGUAAUUUUUUUUUAUGACAACCAGAUGUUACACAAAAAUGUAUCAAGGUUUCUGAGGUUCCUAAUCCUUAACAAGGCCAAGAUUAUGCAACACAUUAAAAAUGGGCUAUUUCUGAUUAUGAAAAUAGGUCAUUUUUGUGCAUCUUUGUACCAUAUCAGUGGCGUUAUGUUUUGAAUGGACUCUCAAAGGGUUAAAAAAAUGUUUUGAGAUGAAAAAUGUACUAUAGUGGGGUGCCUGGACACUCAGUCAUUUCAAAUUCGUGUAAAAGUUUAUUUUUCACUUCCAGUUUGUAUAUUAUGGUCUAUAGAACAAUUUUGGUUCGAGUGUCAAGAAACCAGAUUGAAGAAAGAUAUGUUUUUUGCCCUAUUUCCAAAAUGGCCAAAAUCGGAAUUAUGUUUUUUGAAUAAUGUCUUGGUUUUCCCACAAUUGCUCUGUAAUUUUUGUUUUUGUGCUAGAUUAUGUCAAUACUGUGUGAGGAAUCAAUUGGAAUUCAAAUAUUUAUGUUUUAAAUAUUUUUGGUAUUAUAUAUUUCACUCAAAUGAGACAAAACAGUAAAUAGUGAGCUAAAACAUUUAUUACACAAUAAUACAAACUGUACUUAUGUUUUAACUGUACCACAACAUGGUGCCAUUAGCUUUAACAACUGGUCAUACAUUAUUUUACAAAAGAAAAAGAAACCUAUUAUAUACACAAUCUUGGAAAUAUGCUCCGGUGAAGCUAUUUUUCACAUUUACUCUUGCAAAGACGGGUGCACUUAAGUUUUGCUUUCACACAACUACACCGAGUGCAGGUUGGAACACAAGGGCUUUUGCAAUUGCACUUCACAUCCAACUUUAAUAUGUCCUUGGCGAGGGGUAGAGUGGUCCAAAUGGGAAGCAGUUUCCCGUCCUCCUCCUUCCAGCCAUGAUCAGUGGGGCUGUGGAUGGGCAUCAUGGACCUGAAUGAAAGAAAGAAUGAAUUAAUAAUUUGAUUGAUUGAUGGAUUGAUUGAUAAUCAAUCAAUUCUUUCAUUAGUUAGUUAAUUAGUCAAAUUGACAUGGUACACAAAUUCAUGGAGAAACAUAUACAUACAUAUGGGCUGUCGUCCAGAUGCUUGCUUGGAAGACGCUCCUUUUCAGAUGUUGAUCCAAAGCAUCACUAGUUGGGGGAAUUCUCUCCAUGUCCCUUGUUUUCUUUGAGAAUUGCAUCAUUCGCACACGAUCAACAUCAUUGCCCUCGUGUGUGUCAUCAGUGUACAGCCUACAGACAAAGUUUGUCCCCGCUUCUUUCAGCCUUGGAGAUGCUUUAUAUGGAGUGUCAACAAGAGUUGAAAAUUCCUCCAUGAGGGAUGGCACUUUGGGCAUCACCUUGCAGCAGGAUCACUUACCCUUGAAUUUGAAUGCCGAUGUGCUGUCUGAGCCAGUGAAUGCAUGGAAGAGAGCCAUGCCCUUGCAUGUAGUCAUGCCCAGGUUUGUAGCGAUGGUAUUCAGUGAAAUCAUUCUAGUUGUCUUUCCAGCUUUGAAGGAGAUCCAGACUUCCGCUGCUGCAUUCAGCACUACAACAACAUCUGUGUCUCCAGUAUGCACCAUCCCAAGUGAAGAUGUUUGGAGGGCGUGGAGAAGAUGUAUUAGGACACGAGUGUCAGCUUCCUCAUGGUUGCAUUGAUCCAUUGGUGGGCCAUCUCCAAUGUGGUGGACUUGAUCACCCGCAGUAAUGUAGACAUCCAUGUCAUCUGGAAACUGUGCAUCUGUUAACAACUUAUUUGACAGGAAUGAGAACAGCUCCUUCUUGUUGUCAAUGUUUGCCAGAAACUUUUGCCAAUUCGCCGGGAUUUUGGCAGUACCAGAUACACGUUGUCGGGUGCCUGUUCCUUGUUUUUCCCUUGUGCCUCCUUUGAUUGUUAGAUCACGAUACUGGUCCCAGACUAUGUCAACUCUCGCUGAUCGUUUCAAGUCAUGGUGAACUCUUGGGCAGAAUACCUUGUCGAAAUAGGAAUCAAAGUUCUUCCCAACGACAGUUGUACCAGGAAGUGAAUGUAUCAGUACUCCACCAUCAAUAACAAUGAAGUCGUAAACACUUGGUGCAACUAACUCCUCCUCAACAGAAAUCUCGGUACUCGAACUGGCUUCCAUAAUAUAUACCAACAAAUCUGACUUGGUACAAGAGUUGAGGGCUCCCUCAAAUGACAAUGCAGGUGGAUUCAUAGAGGAAAAAACCCUCCAAAUCUCCCCCACGGCUGUCCAGCACAAUAAAAGCUUUCCCAUAGAGCUCUGCAUGAUGUUUAAAGUGCUGCAUUUUCAGCUUAAUCGCUGUCUUCCUCGGUGCUUUCUUCUCAUGGAACAACAAUAAGUUGUUUCGCUUGAUCGAUGCUGUCAGAAGUGUGUCAUGUGAUUCAAGAACACUUUUCCUGUACUUGUUGUACUGCUCUUGUCCUGUAGACUCAAGUUGAUGGACAGAUACGGCAGCAGCCGCAGACUCACACAUCUUGUUGUCUAAUGUAACCAGGUCAUUACUGCCCUCCUCAAAUGGAUUUCCAAUGCUCAGCAAAUCCUCCAUCAGGUCUUUGACAUGGCGUUGAAAUCGAUGUUGAGAUGCAGGGCCUUCCUCAUGAUGAGGAAGUUCUUCCCUAUCAUCAUUGUAGUUUGUAGUGGUAAACUCCUCCAUGACACGGCUGAUUUCUGGGCCAGUCACGAUCCAGCGUUCCAACAUGCCAGGGUUUUCUGUCAGACCAAUUACACCACCAACCCCUUUCACCCUUUUGUUGGCUUGCUCGUGUGCCUGAUCGAUUGGUAUGGAUGAGAAACGGCGAUUGCUUAGAGUUAUUGUCCAGUGUCCAUCCUCAAACUCUGCCUUGAUGCUAUCUGGGAGACGUUCCAUGUCUCUGAUUAAGACUGGAAGCCACCCCGGGUAAUUCUGGUGAUCAAGAGCAAAGAACAAAGGCACAAGCAUCCGUAGAGUAGUGACCAUGAAGUUGAACUUUCAUUCACGAUGUGCCCGGAUAAACCUGAAGAUCAGGCAAAAAACAUAUCUUUCUUCAAUCUGGUUUCUUGACACUUAAACCAAAAUUGUUUUAUAGACCAUAAUCUACAAAUUGGAAGUGAAAAAUAAACUUUUACACGAAUUUGAAAUGAAAAAUUAAAAUUACAUAUACACAGAACCCCACUACUACUUUCGAUCAGGGCAGAGUUAAUUGAGAGAUGUGUGAAAAAAAAUCUGGAAAAAAUAUGAAUCUAAUAUGUUUUGACAGCAGUCAAUGUCAGUGGCUUUUUUAGCCACUGAGCGUUAAGAGGGGAUGUCUUUUGGAAAUCUGAUCCUACAAAAAAAAACUUAAAAGGCAUCAAAGUCAAUGAUAUUACUUAUCCUUUACAUAUUCAAGACUAUAAUACCCUGCAAGAGAUAUCCAGUUUCAGAUUAUGUUUUCUAAUAAAAAUCAGUCAUUUUCCUCCCAUUUUUUCCCAAUAUUAGUGACUUUAUGUUUUAAAUUGUCCUUUAAAGGGUUAAAAUUUUGAUUUUUAAUGACACAUUUACUAGUUUUGAAUAGAGCAGAAGUAAAUUAAGAGAUGUGUGAAAAAAAAUCUGGAAAAAAUAUGAAUGUCAGUGGCUUUUUUAGCCACUGAGCGUUAAAAAAGUAAGUUAAUCUAAUGGUUACACAAGGAAUAUAUAUAUAUAUAUAUAUAUAUAUAUAUAUAUAUAUAUAUAUAUAUAUAUAUAUAUAUAUAUGUAUAUAUGAAUAUGUAUAUAUAUAUAUUUAUAUGUAUAUAUAUGUGUUUAUAUGUAUAUAUGUGUAUAUAUAUGUAUAUAUAAAUAUAUGUGUAUAUAUAUAUAUAUACACGAAUAUGUAUAUAUAUAUAAAUAUAUACACAUACAUACAUAUAUACAUAUACAUAUAUAUAUAUAUAUAUAUAUAUAUAUAUAUAUAUAUUGCUUAUAAAUAUAUUGCUCAUAUAUGUAUGAGCAAUAAGUCUUCAACAAUGCUUAAUUGAAUGUUUGUUUUGUCUGUGUCUGUGUCUGUGAAUCAAACAACUAUUCAGUUUGUUUGCACUUAGCCAGCCAUCACUGAAAAUCUGUACUAACUAGCAUUUUUCAGACUAGUCAUUUGAAAUUGAUUUUGGGGAUACUUCGUUUUCUUGAUCAGGAUGCACUUGCUGUUGGAUUUUUUAAAAUAACUUUGUGCCCUCAUUUUCACUGUGUGGAUGGUAACCCUGUUCUUAUCUUAGUACCUCUGUUACAAAGAAGGAGUAUUUUAACAAAAUGCUCUUUGUGUGUGUAGUUUUUAUUAUGAUAUUGUUGGUUUUCUAUCUACCAUUGCUAGUUUUAUAUAUCUCAGUCUGUUUUUUUCUACUCUCUCAACAGCCAAAAAGAAAACAACUAAAUCUUUCAAACCUGGGCUCUUUUCAUGGAAAGGAAAGAAACAGAAGGUUGUCCAAUCAGGUAAAAAAAUCUCUGCAGACUGAUGCAGCAUAUCUGCACAACAGUGUCAAAGAGACAACAGUGGAAACAAUGAAUGCUUCAAAUGCAUAUCAAUUCCACAAAGACUGUUUUUUUAUCUUUGCAUACUAAUUUCCUUUGUCAGAUGUCCCUGAGACAUCUCCUCUGCCCACCAUGGACCCUUUGCUUCACUUGGUCUCCCUUCAGAAGGCAUCUGGCUGCUGGGACCUUAGUCCAGCUUUGGCUACAGCACUUGGCAAGACUAGUGAAGAGUUGAAAAAGCCAAAGCCUGCAUCGGUCUGUUAUUUUUAAAACAACAUUUGAAAUGUUGUAAGGGACUGAGUGUGAAUAAGAUUUCAUAAUCUAUUGCCUGCAAGAUCUUCAUCUCUCUAAUUUUGCUACUAAGGUGAAUAUGGAAAUAUGGGCCACUGUGCUGUCUCUGAUCUGGCUUCAUGGUUUCAAGAUGGACGUCAGGGAAGAGUGGGAGCUCCUGGCUAUGAAGGCUGUGUCAUGGCUCCGUGCCCAGAACUGUAAGAGCACUGAUAAACAUACAGAGCAUCUGGAAAGUAUUCAUAGUGCUACACUUUUUUUCACAUUUACCUUUAAAUUUGACACACAAUUACCCAUAAUGACAAAGUGAAAAAGUUUGUCUGAAACUCUUGCAAAUUGAUUGAAAGUUACAACUGAAAUAAAACAUGUACGUAAGUAUUCACAGUGUUUGCUCAGUACUUGGUCGAUUUACUUUUGGCAGCAAUUUCAGCCUCAAGUCUUUUUGAGUAUGAUGCCACAAGCUCGGCACACCUAUUUUUGGGCAGGUUCUCCCAUCCGUUUUUGGCAGAACCUCUCAAGCUAUACCAAGUUGGAUGGAGAGCAUUAGUGUACAGCCAUUUUCAGAUCUCUCCAGAGAUGUUCAAUUGGGUUCAAGUCUGGGCUCUGGUUGGCCACUCAAGGACUUUCACAGAGUUGUCCUGAAGCCACUACUUUGUUAUCUCAGCUGUGUGCGUAGGGUGUUUGUCCUGUUGAAAGAUGACUAUUCGCCCCAAUCCAAGGUCCAGAGUACUCUGGAGCAUGUUAUCAUUAAGGAUGUCUCUGUACAUUGCUGCAUUCAUCUUUCCCUUGACCCUGACUGGUCUUCCAGUUCCUGCUACUAAAAAACAUCACCACAGCAUGAUGCUGCCACCACCAUGCUUCACUGUAGGGAUGGUAUUGGAAAGGUGAUGAGUGGUGCGUGAUUUCCUCCAAACAUGACACUUGGAAAUUCAGGCCACAGAGUUCAGUCUUUGUGACACAUGAAAAUAAUUCUAAAUAAAACAGUAACACAAGAAAAUGUAAAAAAAAAAAAAAAGAAAGAAAAAGAAAAAGAAGUCUAGCUCUGUGAAUACUUUUCGGACACAUUGUAGAUAAAAUGUUGAGUGUGUGCACAGUUUAAAAUAAUCUUUUUGAUCACAUUCAAACCUCUGAUUGAUUUUUUUGUUUGUUUUAUUUUCAGCAUCAGGUCUAAAUGAGUGUGUGGAUGCUGGAAACGCACUCUUGGGCUGCAACGUCAAAAAAGACUCUCUGGGGUUCUGAGGUACUGACACAUGACUUCAAGAAUGGCGCAGAAUGAAGCCAUCCUAUAAUUACAGAUAAGUCAAUCCUAUAGCCUGUACUUGAUCAGCAUUAAACCAUAGUAUCUACACACCUGAAGGUGAUGUACAGUAGGUCCUUUGAUUAAUACUGCCUGCUGUCUAAUGUCUUCUGCUUUUUGAAUAAGCAAAGUGAGGCUUUUACUUUUCCUAAAAUGACAUUACUGAUAAAAAUGUCUACAGUGUGUGUUCUGUUGAGUACGUUAUUCGAUCUGUAGGGUGGUUUUAGACUUAUUUGAAACAUUAAAAUGUUUGAUGUAGGAAAGAGGCCUUUUGAAUACACAGUAGAUAUGAAGGACAACAUGCAAAGUGAAACUCAUUUUAAGUACUUAAACAAAACAGAGUUCACCCCAAAGCUCAGCCAAUCAUCCCAGUGGGGGUCAUCAUAAUACAUGAGUGCACUGCAAAAUGUGGGGUGUUAACAUUAAAUGAAGUGUUGCCUUUUUUUUUUUGGUUUUUUUUUUUGUUUGCAGUUUUUGCUAAUAAUUGUGGACAUAUUUCAUGUACAAAAACCCUUCCAAAUGUUGACAUAAAAAUAAUACAUGGAAAUUAAACCUUAAUAAAUGCUGUAAAGCAAGAUAAGCCUAAAAAUGAUCAAUUACACCAAGAUAAAGUAUUUCAUCAGUUCAGCAUGUCUACAUUAAAUUAAUUUUAAUUGUGGUGUCUUGCUUUUUAUGUAUAAAUUAAGGAAAAUCAAGAUUUUUGUCUUCGUCUGAUUUUUGAAAUUUUUAAGAAAAGUGCUUGUUUGUGUCAUGCAUUGUAGUCGGCUAACCAUACAACUUACAAUAAAGUUUGUGGCAAAAAUGCAGCCUCUCACAACUGACCUGUGUGGUUUGUCUCUUUUUGACUUGUGGACAAGUUUGUGAAUACAGUUUAACUGUAUAUGAAGGAAGUGAUUAGAUGGUUAAAUGUCAUUUUAGAAUUUCAAACAUAGCUGUUUUGGCUUUAGGUAGAAUUGGAAAUGACAAAAAACCUUUUGCUUAAUUUCUUUGCUUCUUCAUCCAUGAAUUCUUGUAGAAAGUAUUUUCUCUUCAGCUGAGUAGGAUAAUAAUGUGUUGAUGAAGUAGUAUAACAACACAACUUCCUCAACUCCUUCACUUCCUUAACAACCAUGAUCACACGUCACAGCACUAACCAAUCAGGGGCUAGGAACUCAAGGUAAAUGUGAAUGAACCACAGAAGCAUAAUAACAAUAGCACCGUGUUUGACUAUUUUCUGUCAAAAACAAACUUAAUGGCCUCAGCAAUACAGUCACCAUAGAGUCCAACAGCUAAGAGGCAGGAGCUCAAGUCCCUUUGAGCUCUAUCUGUAUAUGUGCCAGCUGGCCUGCACUGUAGUUAUACAACCAACUGCUCCAUCUGAGAGACAUACGUCUGCUAUAGGGUGUCUAAAAAGAUGUUAAUAGAUCCUUAUAACUACUUAACCAACAAAAUAAAAAAAACAUACAAACAAAAAACACACUUGAAACAUACCAGUCUGUAUUUAAUGAAUCUAUAUGAUCAAUGAAUCACACUUUUUGAAUUGAAUUAUUGAAAUCGAUUACACUUUUGACAAAACUCUUGUUUGAGCUGCACCUGCAUUUGUGUGACACAUUAGCACCCUCUGCUGUACGAAGAGAGCGAGAGAGGUGCUCACACCAUUCUUGGGACAAAUGCAAGUUGGAUCAGAGCCCCUCUGGUUGGCUAGUUUCAAGCAAGCAAACUCUGAUAGGCUAUUUGAUGUAGACAGGACCUCUUUUUUUUGCUGUGUUUUAACAGUUACUUUUAAAAUGGCUGUGGGGGCACACAAAAUCAGGC
This 23849-nucleotide long non-coding RNA is filed under the name Xyrichtys novacula (pearly razorfish). Lineage: Eukaryota; Metazoa; Chordata; Actinopteri; Labriformes; Labridae. The record is from RNAcentral.